This is a microRNA precursor of Jaculus jaculus (lesser Egyptian jerboa), 110 nucleotides long. NCBI's taxonomy places the organism in Eukaryota, Metazoa, Chordata, Mammalia, Rodentia, Dipodidae. The record is from Ensembl.
AGAGUGUUCAAAGACAGCAAGAAAAAUGAGGGACUUUCAGGGGCAGCUGUGUUUUCUGACUCAGUCAUAAUGCCCCUAAAAAUCCUUAUUGUUCUUGCAGUGUGCAUCGG